GAUGGACGCUGGCGGCGUGCCUAAUACAUGCAAGUCGAGCGAACGGACGAGAAGCUUGCUUCUCUGAUGUUAGCGGCGGACGGGUGAGUAACACGUGGAUAACCUACCUAUAAGACUGGGAUAACUUCGGGAAACCGGAGCUAAUACCGGAUAAUAUUUUGAACCGCAUGGUUCAAAAGUGAAAGACGGUCUUGCUGUCACUUAUAGAUGGAUCCGCGCUGCAUUAGCUAGUUGGUAAGGUAACGGCUUACCAAGGCAACGAUGCAUAGCCGACCUGAGAGGGUGAUCGGCCACACUGGAACUGAGACACGGUCCAGACUCCUACGGGAGGCAGCAGUAGGGAAUCUUCCGCAAUGGGCGAAAGCCUGACGGAGCAACGCCGCGUGAGUGAUGAAGGUCUUCGGAUCGUAAAACUCUGUUAUUAGGGAAGAACAUAUGUGUAAGUAACUGUGCACAUCUUGACGGUACCUAAUCAGAAAGCCACAGCUAACUACGUG
This 497-nucleotide ribosomal RNA is filed under the name uncultured bacterium. RNAcentral describes it as "partial 16S ribosomal RNA". It matches the Rfam family "Bacterial small subunit ribosomal RNA", at positions 28 to 507 of the family's 1533-position model. The record is from RNAcentral.